AGUAACCUUCGGAUACUGCUUGACACCAGGCUUCGAUGACAUUAGGAUACUGCUUGACACCGGGCUACGGUGACAUUAUGAUACUACUUGACACCAGGCUAGUGACAUUAGGAUACUGCUUGACACCGGGCUAUGGUGACAUUAGGAUACUGCUUGACACCAGGCUACGGUGACAUUGGAUACUGCUUGACACCAGGCUACGGUGACCUUCGGAUACUGCUUGACACCGGGCUAGUGACAUUAGGAUACUGCUUGACACCAGGCUACGGUGACAUUAGGAUACUGCUUGACACCAGGCUACAGAGACAUUAGGAUACUGCUUGACACCAGGCUACGGUAACCUUCGGAUACUGCUUGACACCAGGCUACGGUAACCUUCGGAUACUGCUUGACACCAGGCUUCGAUGACAUUAGGAUACUGCUUGACACCAGGCUACGGUGACAUUAGGAUACUGCUUAUUUAUUAUUUUGCACAUUCAUCAUGAAUAGAAAAAUCCAAAUAUGUCCUUUUCAUUUUAAGUCAAUUAAAAUUUGUGGUAGAUGCCACACUUAUUCUCUUCGAUAAACAUACUCUGGUAAGGUAAGGUACUUUUGAUAAAGUACUUUUUUAGAGACCUGUGAAGGCAGAAUGUGACAGACUUUGUUAGUACAUACGGGUAGUCUUCAACACUUUCCUUUUCGUCUUUAAAACUACUCGAAAGGAGCCUCCUCGAGCAACAACUUAUGAAGGUUGGGGAUGAAAAUAUCUGACGACAAAUACUAUACACACACAUUGGUGUUUGAUAUAUUUAAGGAAUUACCAAAAGACGAGUUGCAUAUGUCUCUGGAAAUGUAACGAUUAUUAUCACGUUUUUCUGAAGUUCCAGGAAUUUUGUAGAAAGUGAUGUUACGGUGGGACCACUGUCACAGUUGUUGUAUUUGACUGUUUAAGGUCAAGAUUAAUGGCUAUUUAAUUGUUUAAAUGUGUAUAAGUGGACAUUGUGCAGGGCUGCCGUAAAUUCAUCUGUCCAUCCCUCCUGACAAAGAACUGCUUCCAUGUUGUUUAUCAGACGCUGUGCUGUCAUUCAACCUACUGCUGAACUUUAGGUUGGGUUUGUUUCUCUUUUGCAUUGAAUAAAAUGAAGCGUG
Long non-coding RNA from Oncorhynchus tshawytscha (Chinook salmon), 1128 nucleotides. The record is from Ensembl. NCBI's taxonomy places the organism in Eukaryota, Metazoa, Chordata, Actinopteri, Salmoniformes, Salmonidae.